RNAcentral lists this ribosomal RNA (400 nucleotides) under uncultured bacterium. RNAcentral describes it as "bacterial SSU rRNA". It matches the Rfam family "Bacterial small subunit ribosomal RNA", at positions 355 to 772 of the family's 1533-position model. The record is from RNAcentral.
UGGGGAAUCUUGGACAAUGGGCGCAAGCCUGAUCCAGCCAUGCCGCGUGAGUGACGAAGGCCUUAGGGUUGUAAAGCUCUUUUGGCGGGGACGAUAAUGACCGGUACCCGCAGAAUAACGUCCCGGCUAACUUCGUGCCAGCAGCCGCGGUAAUACGAAGGGGACUAGCGUUGUUCGGAAUUACGUGGCGUAAAGCGCACGUAGGCGGAUUUGUUAGUCAGGGGUGAAAUCCCGGGGCUCAACCUCGGAACUGCCUUUGAUACUGCAAGUCUUGAGUCCGGAAGAGGUGAGUGGAAUUCCUAGUGUAGAGGUGAAAUUCGUAGAUAUUAGGAAGAACACCAGUGGCGAAGGCGGCUCACUGGUCCGGUACUGACGCUGAGUGCGAAAGCGUGGGAGCAAA